This 407-nucleotide ribosomal RNA is filed under the name bacterium Ellin637. RNAcentral's name for it is "bacterial SSU rRNA". It matches the Rfam family "Bacterial small subunit ribosomal RNA", at positions 32 to 449 of the family's 1533-position model. The record is from RNAcentral. Lineage: Bacteria; Pseudomonadati; Acidobacteriota; Terriglobia; Terriglobales; Acidobacteriaceae.
AAUCAACGCUGGCGGCGUGCCUAACACAUGCAAGUCGAACGAGAAAGUGGAGCAAUCCAUGAGUAAAGUGGCGCACGGGUGAGUAACACGUGACUAACCUACCCUGGAGUGGGGGAUAACUGAGGGAAACCUUAGCUAAUACCGCAUAAUACCUACGGGUCAAAGGAGCAAUUCGCUUCAGGAGGGGGUCGCGGCCGAUUAGUUAGUUGGCGGGGUAAUGGCCCACCAAGACAGUGAUCGGUAUCCGGCCUGAGAGGGCGCACGGACACACUGGAACUGAAACACGGUCCAGACUCCUACGGGAGGCAGCAGUGGGGAAUUUUGCGCAAUGGGGGAAACCCUGACGCAGCAACGCCGCGUGGAGGAUGAAGUCCUUCGGGACGUAAACUCCUUUCGAUCGGGACGAU